This 695-nucleotide ribosomal RNA is filed under the name Sporidiobolales sp. LM524. RNAcentral describes it as "bacterial SSU rRNA". The stretch from base 1 to 361 matches the Rfam family "Eukaryotic small subunit ribosomal RNA", at positions 1471 to 1831 of the family's 1831-position model. The record is from RNAcentral. Lineage: Eukaryota; Fungi; Basidiomycota; Microbotryomycetes; Sporidiobolales.
CCUUAGAGUCUGGGCCGCACGCGCGCUACACUGACAGAGCCAGCGAGUCUACCACCUUUGCCGGAAGGCAUGGGUAAUCUUGUGAAACUCUGUCGUGAUGGGGAUAGAGCAUUGCAAUUAUUGCUCUUCAACGAGGAAUACCUAGUAAGCGUGAUUCAUCAGAUCGCGUUGAUUACGUCCCUGCCCUUUGUACACACCGCCCGUCGCUACUACCGAUUGAAUGGCUUAGUGAGGCCUCCGGAUUGGCUAUUGGAAGCUCGCGAGAGCAUCCGACUGCUGAGAAGUUGUACGAACUUGGUCAUUUAGAGGAAGUAAAAGUCGUAACAAGGUUUCCGUAGGUGAACCUGCGGAAGGAUCAUUAGUGAAUAUUAGGACGUUCAAUUUAACUUGAAGUCCGAACUCUCACUUUCUAACCCUGUGCAUUUGUUUUGGCUAGUAGGAUAUUUCGGUAUCCGAACACCUCUUCAUUUACAAACACUAAGUCUAUGAAUGUUUAAAUUUUAUAACAAAAUAAAACUUUCAACAACGGAUCUCUUGGCUCUCGCAUCGAUGAAGAACGCAGCGAAAUGUGAUAAGUAAUGUGAAUUGCAGAAUUCAGUGAAUCAUCGAAUCUUUGAACGCAUCUUGCACUCUUUGGUAUUCCGAAAAGUAUGUCUGUUUGAGUGUCAUGAAUUCUUCAACCCUCCCUUUUCUUA